GCUCCUGUAGCUCAGCUUGGAUAGAAGACGAAGAUGAAGAAUCUUCUGUCUAUUAUGCACCUGCCUCCUAAGCAGGGGGUCGCGCGUUCGAAUCGCGCCGGGAGCG
RNAcentral lists this transfer RNA (106 nucleotides) under Candidatus Aenigmatarchaeota archaeon. RNAcentral describes it as "tRNA-Arg". It matches the Rfam family "tRNA". From Rfam's summary of the family: Transfer RNA (tRNA) molecules are approximately 80 nucleotides in length. Lineage: Archaea; Nanobdellati; Candidatus Aenigmatarchaeota. The record is from RNAcentral.